This is a long non-coding RNA of Parus major (Great Tit), 3234 nucleotides long. RefSeq lists it as uncharacterized. The record is from RefSeq and is a predicted model, not a curated record. NCBI's taxonomy places the organism in Eukaryota, Metazoa, Chordata, Aves, Passeriformes, Paridae. The transcript has 2 exons.
AGCACCCUGGGCUAGUGGAAGGUGUUCCUGCCAUGGCAGGGGAUGGAAUGAGAUCCCCUUAAAGAUCCCUUCCCACCCAAGCCAUGCCAUGGUUCUAUGGAUAAUCCUGUACCUUCCACCUGAUGCCCCAAAAUCCCCUGGGAGGGAAGGGCUGUGGAGGGCGUUUGGUUCUGUGGGGUGAUGAUCUCAGUGGUCACUUGGUGAUAAAUAAUUCACUCCUUCAGAUUCUCUGCCCUUGGUGGUCGUAGUUUUUGUCAUCUCAUAUUCUCAGCCCUUUGCACUAAUUAAUCCUUAUUUUUUUAAAAAAACUAGAGUGAUGUAGAAGCUCCACUUCAGCUCACCCUUCCCUUACCAGUGUGCCUUCUCACCCAGCCUGAAGCUGGAAGCAGUCACAGCUUUGCCUCCUCAUCUCAUGACCAAAAAAACCCCAAACAAGGCGGGAGGCUCAGACUUUCACACACCCCAAGGCCGACACUUCCGUGGUGAGCGGGGCUGCUGCUGCUCCGUGGGCCGCCCCGGGCAGGGGGUGCACAGGAAGGGCUCUGUGCUUAUCAGAUCCAUCUGUGCCUCACCUUGAGCUGCCUCCCCGUGGGGAGGAGCCCUCCUGCUCCCCUCACCGCUCCUGUGCUGUGGCAGGGCACUGCUGGAUCCCUGGAGGAUGCUCCAAAGCCACAGCUUCUCUUCCCUCCCAUCUCCAAGGGUUUGCCAUGGUGAGGCUGCUCUGGUGCAGGUGGCUGAGCACAGCUCACCCCGGGAUUGCUGCCUGCUGGGGCCUUUCUCAGGCCCUGUUCUCCCCCUGAAUUGAGACCCUUGAUUGAGGGAAAAUCAAACCUGUGGCUGGCUGAGGGAAAAGUCAGCUCCAGAUCUUCACAGCCUUCAGAAUCCCCGAAUGGUUUGGGCUGGAAGGAACCGUAAAGCCCAAGUUCCAGCCCCCUGCCAGUUCACCUCCCACUAGACCAGGUCUCUAGACCAGAAACACUUUAUGUUUCACCAAUAAAUAUCCCAUUUGCAGAUCUACUGGAUAACAGCUGUAUCCUUUUGCAGACCCCUAUAUCCCAAUAUUUGUUGUUUCUCAGUGGAGCUGAUGGUUUCUUUCCACAAAACCCUUCAUUCUGCUUUCAGUAUAAUUUGAUUUUCUUGAUUUUUUUUGUGUUUUCAUUUAUAUUUUCUUUUUAAAAACCAACCAAAACCCUCUUGUGCUUGAAGGCAAGAUGUAUCCUCGCUGCAGAGCUGGGAUUACAGCAGAGCACAGUGAUGAUUUGAACCAGAUCUCACCAGGGAUUUGAAGUCCCAUUAGAGACUCUUGGGCUGGGGCAGACGAGCCCAGAGGGAGAAAUUUUGGGUGAAGGAACUCAAGGAGCAGCAUGACAUCAAUGUGGGCAGUGCUGCUGUUCUUUUUGGGUUUGGGAUGGUGCUGUUUUAGGACUUUUAGGCUGUUGAGCAGCAGGAACAGCCUGGGCUGUGGGCUUUGAUGGUUUGUGUUGAUUCAAAUAAGAAAUCUCUCAUUCAAACACAACCUCACAACUCUGAGUUUCAGCUUCUGUUUCACUCAGGUCUCCUGGGAACUUUCUCUGGAGCUGUGCAGAUGUUUGUAUGACCACAGGGAGUACCCUGCCCUUAAAUACCCAGUGUGCUGUGACUGUGGAUUGGUCCCAGAUAAUGGCACUGCUCACAGGACUGGUGAUCUGACAGCACAUGAGGGAAACGAGUCAGCCAAAACAAGAGCUUGGGUGGGUUAAAUUCUUUAAAAUAAGGUUUUUCCCUUGGGACUUGUGGGAAUCCAAGUGGGGAGGCAAAGCUGGACGUUGUGGGUGGUAAAAGCCAUGACCUUCCAUGAGCUGGAGCCUCACCAAGAUAUUCCCUUUUCACAGCCCUGUUGGGCCCCUGGGAAAAUGGGAGAUGAGUUAAGAGAGUGGUUCCUUCUCACAAUUCCUUAUGGCACUCAGCCACAUCACUGUGUUCAUCCUGCCUUUGCUGGUUGCUUGGACUUCUCAUUUUCUUCCCUGAAUUUGUGGGGGAAAAAAGUAAACUUGAGCAAAAAUGGUGUUGAAAAUUAUUACCUUGACGAUUGUAGCUCAGCCUCGUGGUGAGCAUGGAGGUGGUCCAUGGUGACCUGACCUCCAAGGAGCUUCCUUCUCCUCCCUUUAACCUCAUGGUGGCACCUCUGGGUAGCCCAGAGCAAACACUGGCCCUGGUGGGGUCAGUGUGACCUGAGAGACAGAAACAGAGCUGGAAGGAGGAACCAGAACCAGGUCUUCACCUCUGAGGCAAUGACAUUAGUACAUUUUAUCUCUAUUAUUUUGUGCUCAUGGCUUUACAUAACCAAACCUUUUUUCUAAAUCAGAUUUUCUGGCCACAGCUGUAGAUCAUGUAGGUCAAAUUCUCAGAGUUUAUCACCCCAAAGGCUGCAGCUCCUCUGCCCUGACUUAACUGGCAGCAUGAACCAAGCACUACCCUGAUGGAUCUAGCUUAUUUUUGGUCAUGAUGUUUGUCCAAACAUCUCUGACAAGAUUUUAGCUUUUUAUUUUUGUGUUGAAUGGGGUGGGAUCAUAUUUGGGUCACUCUCUGGAGGUUGUUUUUAGUUACUGAGGUCUGAGGAGCAGAGUCCAGCAGUGCCAGGGGUGCUCUGUGUGUGCAUUUACACCCCGGGAGCUGGGGCUGAGGCUCGUUUUUAACAGCAAAGUGAAAAAGGAAGUAAAAAGUGCAGUAAAAUGUGUCAAAGCUGCCUUAACCCCAGCAGGAAAAUCUAAUGAGUUACAGAGAAAUGGGGACUCUGCUCAGGAUGUUGAGCAACCGUGUGACAAAACAGCAAAUAAAACGGUGCUGGUAAAAGAAAAGAUGAGUGAGAAGACAAAAAUUCUGCUUUGGAGCUGAAAGUGACUCUGGGGGGGUUGGACAGGGCCACCCUGGUCCCCUUCCAUGGUGGCCAGAAAGGACAGGGAUGGGCUGGAUUCCUGCAGCUGGAGGAAUUCCCGUUAUCCUGGGAAAUCUGUCCCUUUGACUUCUGUCCCCAGUGCAAGAAGAAGAGUAAAAUAAUUUCAGAGAAGCAUCUAAAAUGUUCUAAAGGCCCUCAAGAGGCAUCAAAUCCAGGUGCUGCCACAUGUUUGUGUGUAUUGGUGAUGCAGGGGGGAGAAAAGGCCAAGAAUCAGAUUUAAAAAACAUUUUUAGAAAUGAUUGUUUUAUUAUAUACAACAGGAAGUAUAAAAAUAAAUAUUUUUUUUUGGUCACUGUGAA